GACGAACGCUGGCGGCGUGCUUAACACAUGCAAGUCGAACGGAAAGGCCCUGCUUUUGUGGGGUGCUCGAGUGGCGAACGGGUGAGUAACACGUGAGUAACCUGCCCUUGACUUUGGGAUAACUUCAGGAAACUGGGGCUAAUACCGGAUAGGAGCUCCUGCUGCAUGGUGGGGGUUGGAAAGUUUCGGCGGUUGGGGAUGGACUCGCGGCUUAUCAGCUUGUUGGUGGGGUAGUGGCUUACCAAGGCUUUGACGGGUAGCCGGCCUGAGAGGGUGACCGGCCACAUUGGGACUGAGAUACGGCCCAGACUCCUACGGGAGGCAGCAGUGGGGAAUAUUGCACAAUGGGCGGAAGCCUGAUGCAGCAACGCCGCGUGCGGGAUGACGGCCUUCGGGUUGUAAACCGCUUUCGCCUGUGACGAAGAGUGAGUGACGGUAAUGGGUAAAGAAGCACCGGCUAACUACGUGCCAGCAGCCGCGGUGAUACGUAGGGUGCGAGCGUUGUCCGGAUUUAUUGGGCGUAAAGGGCUCGUAGGUGGUUGAUCGCGUCGGAAGUGUAAUCUUGGGGCUUAACCCUGAGCGUGCUUUCGAUACGGGUUGACUUGAGGAAGGUAGGGGAGAAUGGAAUUCCUGGUGGAGCGGUGGAAUGCGCAGAUAUCAGGAGGAACACCAGUGGCGAAGGCGGUUCUCUGGGCCUUUCCUGACGCUGAGGAGCGAAAGCGUGGGGAGCGAACAGGCUUAGAUACCCUGGUAGUCCACGCUGUAAACGGUGGGUACUAGGUGUGGGGUCCAUUCCACGGGUUCCGUGCCGUAGCUAACGCUUUAAGUACCCCGCCUGGGGAGUACGGCCGCAAGGCUAAAACUCAAAGGAAUUGACGGGGCCCCGCACAAGCGGCGGAGCAUGCGGAUUAAUUCGAUGCAACGCGUAGAACCUUACCUGGGUUUGACAUGGAUCGGGAGCGCUCAGAGAUGGGUGUGCCUCUUUUGGGGUCGGUUCACAGGUGGUGCAUGGCUGUCGUCAGCUCGUGUCGUGAGAUGUUGGGUUAAGUCCCGCAACGAGCGCAACCCUUGUUCACUGUUGCCAGCACGUUAUGGUGGGGACUCAGUGGAGACCGCCGGGGUCAACUCGGAGGAAGGUGGGGAUGACGUCAAGUCAUCAUGCCCCUUAUGUCCAGGGCUUCACGCAUGCUACAAUGGCUGGUACAGAGAGUGGCGAGCCUGUGAGGGUGAGCGAAUCUCGGAAAGCCGGUCUCAGUUCGGAUUGGGGUCUGCAACUCGACCUCAUGAAGUCGGAGUCGCUAGUAAUCGCAGAUCAGCAACGCUGCGGUGAAUACGUUCCCGGGGCU
This 1346-nucleotide ribosomal RNA is filed under the name uncultured bacterium. Its description in RNAcentral is "bacterial SSU rRNA". It matches the Rfam family "Bacterial small subunit ribosomal RNA", at positions 28 to 1381 of the family's 1533-position model. The record is from RNAcentral.